Molecule: long non-coding RNA, 2898 nt
Filed under: Citrus sinensis (sweet orange)
Lineage: Eukaryota; Viridiplantae; Streptophyta; Magnoliopsida; Sapindales; Rutaceae
Description: long non-coding RNA (CSIN_LNC001720)
Source: RNAcentral
AGGUAUUUUACCUGUAACAAGAAAAUUAACAAUAUUAGCAUACCAUGGCAUUGAAGUAACAGAAAAUAAAAAUUCAUCAGGGAAAGAAUCAUUUAUGGGUGUUAUAUCAUUGCAGAAUUCGGAUGUAAGUCUUGAUAGAUGAUCAGCAACAACAUUUUCAGCACCCUUUUUAUCUUUGAUGGUAAGGUCAAAUUCUUGUAGUAACAAAAUCCAACGAAUUAGUCUCGGUUUGGCAUCCUGUUUACUCAUCAAAUAUCUCACAGCAGCAUGGUCAGUAAACACAACAGAUUUAGAGCCAAGCAAAUAUGAACGGAAUUUGUUUAAUGCAAAUACCACAGCAAGUAAUUCUUUUUCAGUUGUAGAAUAAUUCAUUUGAGCACUAUCCAAAGUCUUGCUCGCAUAAUAAAUCACAAAAGGCUUACCAUCCCUUCUUUGUCCUAAAACAGCACCAACAGCAAAAUCACUUGCAUCACACAUUAAUUCAAAUGGCAAAGACCAAUCAGGAGAUUGCAUAAUAGGUGCAGAUGUUAAAAGACAAAUUAUUUUUUCAAAAGAUUUUUGGCAAUCAUCAUUCCAUUCAAACGGUGCAUCUUUUAAUAAGAGGUUACAAAGUGGUUUAGAUAUGGCACUAAAGUUUUUUAUAAACCUCCUAUAAAAUCCUGCAUGUCCUAAAAAGGAUCGCACAUCUCUAACUGUUUUUGGUUGUGGCAAUUUAGAUAUGACUUCGAUUUUUGCUUUGUCAACUUCAAUUCCUCUGCUGUACCGUACAUCCGCCUUGGCCGUACAGCAGAACUAUGUACAGUGCAUCAAUCUAAAGAAAAAAAUCAAACAAUGAAACGGUAAAAUAAUAGUAAAACAAAAAAAAAUCAUUAAAGACUUAAUCAAGAACUGGUGGGUCAUCCAAAUUAAUUUCGGUGUCCUCGUCACGUGGGUGAUGUUCCAGAUAUGGUUUUAAUCUUUGACCAUUAACUUUAAAUGUGACACCGUUAUUUGGAUUCUCAAUUUCUAUGGCCCCAUAUGAAUAUACAUUUUUUACAACAAAUGGGCCACUCCAUUUUGACUUUAACUUUCCUGGAAAUAAAUGAAGACGAGAAUUAUAAAGCAACACUUUUUGACCAAUCUCAAAUGUUUUUCGAAAAAUUCUUUUAUCAUUAAUUCACCUUUUUCAUUUUUAACAACAGUGAUUCCAGAUUUUUUAGACACUACUUGUGUAGAACUUACCCACUUACUAUCAGAAAUAGGGUAGAUAAUUCCCACAUCAAGCAAUUUAAGGACUUCUGUUUUGACUACCUCUUUCAUGUGUGGGUUUAAUCUUCUUUGAGGUUGUUGACAUGUUUUAGCAUUUUCUUCCAAAUUAAUUCUAUGCAUGCAAAUUAAGGGAUUAAUGCCUUUAAUAUCAUUUAAAGUCCAUCCUAUUGCAUUUUUAUGCUUUUUAAGAACAGUAAGUAACUUACCUUCUUGGUUGCUUGUUAAAGUAGAAGAAAUCACAACAGGAUAAGUUUGUUCUUCUCCAAGAAAAACAUAUUUCAAUCCUUCAGGCAAAGGUUUUAAUUCCAUUUUAGGUGCUUCUUGUUGUUCUGUCUUUUCAAUACUUUCAAGCUCCUCAAAUUUUGGCUCGCCAUCAUAAUUUUGUGAAGUCUGCACAGAAUCAAGCAACGAAUUUAUAUUAGAAAUAUCAAGUUCAAGUUGCUUAUUUGACUUAAUUGAAUUAACUAAACAAACAUUAGAAAGUUCAGAAAAAUCCCCUUUUUGAAUAUUUUCCUCGAUACAAGAUUCAAACAAUUCCUUUUGUUCAUCAGUAUCAUCUUCAUUCUCAUUUUCUUCAUUAGGUUGCCUGCACAUGUUGAAAACAUUCAAUUCCAAAGUCAUAUUCCCAAAGGAUAAAUUCAUUAAACCAUUCCUACAAUUAAUCAAAGCAUUAGCAGUUGCUAAAAAUGGUCGACCUAAAAUUACAGGAAUUGGUUUGUAAUUAUUCACAACAGGUUCAGUUUCCAAGACAAUAAAAUCCACAGGAUAAAUAAAUUUAUCAACUUGUACUAAAACAUCUUCCACUAUUCCUUUUGGUACUUUAACUGAUCUAUCGGCAAGCAAAAGUGUAGUUGAAGUUGAUUUUAACUCACCAAGAUUAAGUUGAAGAUAAACUGAAUAUGGAAGCAAAUUAACACUAGCACCAAGAUCUAGUAAAGCAUGCUCAAUUCUGUGGUUACCAAUAAUACAAGAAAUGGUAGGACAACCAGGAUCUUUAUAUUUCAACUUAUUAUUAGUAGACAGAAUUGUACUUACCUGUUCGGCCAUGAAAGCACUCUUUCUUACCUUCAAUUUCCUCUUAACAGUGCACAAGUCCUUUAAAAAUUUGGCAUAUGAAGGAACCUGCUUGAUUGCAUCUAAUAGAGGAAUGUUAACUUUCACUUGCUUAAAGAUUUCAUAAAUUUCAGAAGCUGCUGUACGGCCAAGGCGGAUGUACGGUACAGCAGUUCUUUGUCCUAAAACAGCACCAACAGCAAAAUCACUUGCAUCACACAUUAAUUCAAAUGGCAAAGACCAAUCAGGAGAUUGCAUAAUAGGUGCAGAUGUUAAAAGACAAAUUAUUUUUUCAAAAGAUUUUUGGCAAUCAUCAUUCCAUUCAAACGGUGCAUCUUUUAAUAAGAGGUUACAAAGUGGUUUAGAUAUGGCACUAAAGUUUUUUAUAAACCUCCUAUAAAAUCCUGCAUGUCCUAAAAAGGAUCGCACAUCUCUAACUGUUUUUGGUUGUGGCAAUUUAGAUAUGACUUCAAUUUUUGCUUUGUCAACUUCAAUUCCUUUAAUAGAAACAACAUGACCCAAAACAAUUCCAGAAGUAACCAUGUAGUGACAUUUUUCCCAAUUCAACACGAGUUCUUUUUCAACACAUCUUUUUAA